GCGAGUAAAGUGGCGGACGGGUGAGGAACGCGUAGGAAUCUGCCUAGUAGUGGGGGAUAACUCGGGGAAACUCGAGCUAAUACCGCAUACACUCUGAGGAGAAAAGCGGGGGACCUUUGGGCCUCGCGCUAUUAGAGGAGCCUGCGUUAGAUUAGUUUGUUGGUGAGGUAAUGGCUCACCAAGACUACGAUCUAUAGCUGGUCUGAGAGGACGAUCAGCCACACUGGAACUGAGACACGGUCCAGACUUCUACGGAAGGCAGCAGUUAGGAAUAUUGCGCAAUGGGCGAAAGCCUGACGCAGCGAUGCCGCGUGUGUGAAGAAGGCUCUAGGGUUGUAAAGCACUUUCAGUCGUGAAGAAAUUUAUUUUGUUAAUACCGAAAUGAUUUGACGUUAACGACAGAAGAAGUACCGGCUAACUCCGUGCCAGCAGCCGCGGUAAUACGGAGGGUACAAACGUUAAUCGGAAUUACUGGGCGUAAAGCGCGCGUAGGCGGUUCGUUAAGUGGGAUGUGAAAGCCCCGGGCUCAACCUGGGAACUGCAUUCCAAACUGGCUAACUAGAGUGUGGUAGAGGGAAGUAGAAUUUGAUGUGUAGCGGUGAAAUGCGUAGAUAUAUCAAGGAAUACCAAUGGCGAAGGCAGCUUCCUGG
RNAcentral lists this ribosomal RNA (650 nucleotides) under uncultured marine bacterium. RNAcentral describes it as "bacterial SSU rRNA". It matches the Rfam family "Bacterial small subunit ribosomal RNA", at positions 86 to 732 of the family's 1533-position model. The record is from RNAcentral.